RNAcentral lists this long non-coding RNA (1352 nucleotides) under Zalophus californianus (California sea lion). Its description in RNAcentral is "lncRNA (ENSZCAG00015006977.1)". Lineage: Eukaryota; Metazoa; Chordata; Mammalia; Carnivora; Otariidae. The record is from RNAcentral.
UUCGGCCCAAACGCUAGCGAGUUGUCUUAUUUUUCCAGUGUUUUCACUUGAAUGCGGGAGAAAGUUCUUUGGAAGCUAUGAAUGGUUGCAAGGACAUGAGGGAUUCCUCUUUAGUUAGAUUCUCUCUCAGACAAAGGGCUCUAAAGGCCAGGCUUCCUGCUGGGCUCCCAGCAGAGGCUCCAGUGCCCCAGACAACCUGAGCCUGGCCCUGGCUGUCAGCAGUGAGAGAGGGCCCACCAGGAAAUCAUGGUUAUCUACGCUCUGCGCUUUGUUCCUGUUCUCAGACAACAAGCGACAGGGCUGGGGAGCCGGGCUAGGGGGUGGAGAAAGAGGAAGAAAAAACAGGAAGUGAAAGGGGGGGAGGAAAUGAUAUGGAAAACACAGCAACUCUGAAAAGUCCUUGGCCUGACGAGAAAGUGAAUCCCGAGCCGGCGUUUGUAGAGGCUGGCCCUGCAUUUUGUGAAACCGGGUCUCGAAGGAAGAAGGCAGAGACCGAAAUUGCUGCCAUCGAGGGAAAAAAAAAAAAAAAAGGUUCACAAUGCAAUGCACACUGGCCUCUCGGAACAUUGUCUACUCAAGGUCUUAGAAGGAAAGAGCUGUGGAGGGCUUGCAAGGACCCCCAGAGGAUCUUAUAUGCAUGCGAGGCACCUCCUACUGUGCGGGACAUCUGGGUGGAGGGGCGCCUGCCUGCCUUUCAUCUGGAACCCUCUCACCUGAAGCCAGCUCUGAGCCUGCUUCUGGAGCCACGUGCAGAGGCUCAAUGCCUUUGGUAGAAAGGCGGGCACUGCUUAACCCAGGCCAUCACUCGAGGCCCGAGACAAAGAUGAACAACAUCCCUGUGGAUGUCCCUGGCGUCUCAACUGCGCGUUGCUUUGGAAAGCUCUUAACCAAGUCACCAUUAUGGCAACGGGAGGCCCACGGGCUGGAACUGACGAGAAGUCCUGCCCAAACUGGAAAUCUUGCAGACGCACCCUACCCCCCGCCGAAGCUCAGGGACAGCAGUAAAUGAAGGCCCUGCACCUGAGGAGUUUUCCAGUCUCUGCACCAUGUCACGAGAUUUCUUCAGACAGGAGCAUGGCCAUGUCUGCUGCAGGGCCCUUGCUUCCUCACCGCCCGUCUCGGUCCCUCAGUCCAUGGGGUCCCGCAUCCCAACCACAAUCCAAGACCUCAUUUCUGCUUUGGCUCUCCCUUCAGUGCUGAGGCUGGACAGAGCUACUCAUUAAAAUGGAUCAUGAGGGGCGCCUGGGUGGCUCAGUUGUUAAGCAUCUGCCUUCGGCUCAGGUCAUGAUCCUGGGGUCCUGGGAUCCAGCCCCACAUCGGGCUCCCUGCUCGGCGGGAAGCCUGCUUCUCCC